RNAcentral lists this long non-coding RNA (201 nucleotides) under Arachis ipaensis. RNAcentral describes it as "long non-coding RNA (AIPA_LNC001186)". The record is from RNAcentral. Lineage: Eukaryota; Viridiplantae; Streptophyta; Magnoliopsida; Fabales; Fabaceae.
UUUAAUUGAUCUUAUUAACUUGUUAAUUUGAUAAAUUAUUAUUUUGGUGUUGUUCUUGACCUUUUGAUUAUUAUAUUGUGUUUUGCUGUUGUUGAUUUAAUAAAUUGUUCAUUGAGUGGAAGAUGAAAACCUGCCAUGAUAAACCUACUCCUGCCAUGUUAAACCUGUCAUGUUAAACCUACUCAAUUCAUUUCAUUCUUG